RNAcentral lists this unclassified non-coding RNA (1059 nucleotides) under Hevea brasiliensis (rubber tree). The record is from RNAcentral. Lineage: Eukaryota; Viridiplantae; Streptophyta; Magnoliopsida; Malpighiales; Euphorbiaceae.
AAAAAAAAAAAAAAAAAUAAAAUAGAAAAAAAAAAAAAGAAAAAAAAUUAUUAGAUCUAGAGGGAAAUGGUGAAACUCGUGGGAUAUGUGAUAAUGGAGUAAAUAUUAUAGGUUUUAGACCAUGGCUACAAAGUUUCGUGAAAAUAUAUAUAUUAAAAAAAAAGCAUUGGCACUGUUAGUGACAAAGGAUUCAGCUUUAGUAUAUAUAUAUAAUGUUCCUAACUUUUUGACAAGAUAACUAAUGCUUAUUACUAAAACACCAUUAUUGUUUCAGCUAAUACAUACCAUGAAUUUAAUAAACUAGAUUGUAAAAUUACCAUCCAUUUCAUAUGUUGUAUGAUAAAUAAUUUGUUAAGUAGCAUACAAUAUCAUAUUAAACCUUUUAGAUAGAUGGAAACACUUUAUAAAGUUCAAUUUUCCUAAUCUUAUAUAGUACAGCAACAUCUAGGCAAGAUGACGCACAAUAGAAAACACUGGCAUUUAUAGUAUUAGUAUACGAACAAUUCCAUUGAAAUUCAAAAUUUAUUCACUACAUGAGCAAAAAAUUCAGAAGCAACUAGAAUGUUAAGAUAAGACAAGACAAUAUUAUAACUAGAAAAAUUGAAUAAAAAAAAAACCAAGACAAGCAGAAUUUUAAGAGAAUGUGAAUAUCCAAUUUCAUAUGAAUUUGGAGAAAGAAAUAGUCACUAAGAAUCAAAUAGUUAAACAAUUAAACUUACAGUAUUAUAAGUUUUACAUAUAUUUGAACAUAUAAAGCAUUCUACACAAACUCAAAAAUCCAGCACACAUGCAACAUUUUCAUAGUCAUUUAAAUUCAUCAAAAAGCCAAAAAUUAAAACUAAAAUAUCAAGAAAUCCUGCAGGCCAUGGCUACUUACCGAAUGGUGGCGAGAUAGGUAAUUUUCGAAGGCUAGUGAAGGUGAUUUGGUGAGGCCAAAAAUCCUUAAUCCACGCUCCACAAACGGUUCAAAACGAUACCCAUUUCAGCAACUACAAAUCUCAACAUUCAAAGUUCAAACAAGUGAAGAGAGAAGAGACUAGAGAAGAAAGAGAGGCUUAC